RNAcentral lists this ribosomal RNA (222 nucleotides) under Janthinobacterium sp. RNAcentral's name for it is "partial 16S ribosomal RNA". It matches the Rfam family "Bacterial small subunit ribosomal RNA", at positions 563 to 787 of the family's 1533-position model. Lineage: Bacteria; Pseudomonadati; Pseudomonadota; Betaproteobacteria; Burkholderiales; Oxalobacteraceae. The record is from RNAcentral.
AAGCGUGCGAGGCGGUUUUGUAGACUGUCGUGAAUCCCCGGGCUCAACCUGGGAAUGGCGAUGGUGACUGCAAGGCUAGAGUUUGGCAGAGGGGGGUAGAAUUCCACGUGUAGCAGUGAAAUGCGUAGAUAUGUGGAGGAACACCGAUGGCGAAGGCAGCCCCCUGGGUCAAAACUGACUCUCAUGCACGAAAGCGUGGGGAGCAAACAGGAUUAGAUACCC